Molecule: long non-coding RNA, 138 nt
Organism: Amblyraja radiata (thorny skate)
Lineage: Eukaryota; Metazoa; Chordata; Chondrichthyes; Rajiformes; Rajidae
Exons: 3
Source: RefSeq, a predicted model, not a curated record
UCCCGAAUCAGCCACUUUCUUACUGGAGACAGCGGCUUCACAAUGUUAUAGGUCGCAGACCAGUGGUCAGAGCACUUCUUCUGAUGAUCCCUGGCAAGGGAUCCCAGGCUCCGCGAUGGAAAGGCCCUGCUGGACCGC